RNAcentral lists this ribosomal RNA (388 nucleotides) under uncultured bacterium. RNAcentral's name for it is "bacterial SSU rRNA". It matches the Rfam family "Bacterial small subunit ribosomal RNA", at positions 28 to 417 of the family's 1533-position model. The record is from RNAcentral.
GACGAACGCUGGCGGCGUGCUUAACACAUGCAAGUCGAGCGGUAAGGCCCCUUUGGGGGUACACGAGCGGCGAACGGGUGAGUAACACGUGGGUGACCUGCCCUCAGCUCCGGGAUAAGCCUGGGAAACUGGGUCUAAUACCGGAUAUGACUCCAUGACGCAUGUUGUGGGGUGGAAAGCCUUGUGCGGCUGGGGAUGGGCCCGCGGCCUAUCAGCUUGUUGGUGGGGUGAUGGCCUACCAAGGCGACGACGGGUAGCCGGCCUGAGAGGGCGACCGGCCGCACUGGGACUGAGACACGGCCCAGACUCCUACGGGAGGCAGCAGUGGGGAAUCUUGCGCAAUGGGCGAAAGCCUGACGCAGCGACGCCGCGUGAGGGAUGACGGCCU